UCAAAACCAAAAUGGACUCUGGGACCUUUUAUUAGAUCAACUUUUCUCCCAGCAGCCUCCACAACAACAACAACAACAACACAGAGUGUGAGUUCCUCACCUUCUCCAUCCUCCUCUGAAACCAGCAGAGUCUCUGAGAAACCAGCUGCAGCUUCAGGUCUGCUGCUCUAUGUGCUUCUGUCUCUGGUCGCCAAGAUCAUCUUAUUUUCAACUCCUUUGGUGAUUUUCUGCAGGAAGAGGAGGCUCACUGAAAGCAGAGGUCCUGCUGUGGAAACAGAGUUCA
Molecule: long non-coding RNA, 283 nt
Organism: Cyprinodon tularosa
Lineage: Eukaryota; Metazoa; Chordata; Actinopteri; Cyprinodontiformes; Cyprinodontidae
Exons: 3
Source: RefSeq, a predicted model, not a curated record